This 253-nucleotide ribosomal RNA is filed under the name uncultured bacterium. RNAcentral describes it as "partial 16S ribosomal RNA". It matches the Rfam family "Bacterial small subunit ribosomal RNA", at positions 524 to 776 of the family's 1533-position model. The record is from RNAcentral.
UACAGAGGGGGCAAGCGUUAUUCGGAAUUAUUGGGCGUAAAGGGCGCGUAGGCGGCUUUUCAAGUGGCGGGUGAAAUCCCUCGGCUUAACCGAGGAACUGCCUGCCAGACUGGAAGGCUUGAGACCGGGAGAGGUGAGUGGAAUUCCCAGUGUAGCGGUGAAAUGCGUAGAUAUCUGGAGGAAUACCGGUGGCGAAGGCGGCAUCCUGGACCGGCAUUGACGCUGAGGAGCGAAAGCCAGGGGAGCAAACGGG